AGAGGCCCAAGUUGACAAACCUCGGCAUAAAAAGUGGUUAAUACAGUAUUUCACUAAAGUCAAACACCUUCAAAGCAGUCAUACGCUCCUGAAGGCAGGAAGGCCUUCCACGAAAGUGACUUUAAACAAUAUAACCCCACGAAAGCUAGGAGACAAACUGGGAUUAGAUACCCCACUAUGCCUAGCCUUAAACACAAGUAGUAGUAUACAUCAUUGCUUGCCAGGGAACUACGAGCCCCAGCUUAAAACCCAAAGGACUUGGCGGUGCUUUAGACCCACCUAGAGGAGCCUGUUCUAGAACCGAUAACCCCCGUUAAACCUCACCCUCUCUUGUUUUUCCCGCCUAUAUACCACCGUCGUCAGCUUACCCCAUGAGGGUUUAAUAGUAAGCACAAUUGGCAUAACCCAAAACGCCAGGUCGAGGUGUAGCGUACGAGAGGGGAAGAAAUGGGCUACAUUCACUGACCCAGUAAACACGAAUAAUGCCUUGAAACAGACAUUUGAAGGAGGAUUUAGCAGUAAGGAGGAAUAAGAGUGCCCUCCUGAAACUGGCCCUGAAGCGCGCACACACCGCCCGUCACUCUCCCCAAACUAAACAAAUUGAUAAAUAAACAACAAAUUAAAUAAAGGGGAGGCAAGUCGUAACAUGGUAAGUGUACCGGAAGGUGCACUUGGAAAAAUCAGAACGUAGCUAAAC
RNAcentral lists this ribosomal RNA (697 nucleotides) under Mugilogobius sp. 2. Its description in RNAcentral is "partial 12S ribosomal RNA". It matches the Rfam family "Bacterial small subunit ribosomal RNA", at positions 534 to 1533 of the family's 1533-position model. The record is from RNAcentral. Lineage: Eukaryota; Metazoa; Chordata; Actinopteri; Gobiiformes; Gobiidae.